RNAcentral lists this ribosomal RNA (253 nucleotides) under uncultured bacterium. Its description in RNAcentral is "partial 16S ribosomal RNA". It matches the Rfam family "Bacterial small subunit ribosomal RNA", at positions 524 to 776 of the family's 1533-position model. The record is from RNAcentral.
UACGGAGGAUGCAAGCGUUAUCCGGAAUUAUUGGGCGUAAAGCGUCCGCAGGUGGCAAUUCAAGUCUGCUGUUAAAGGUCAGGGCUCAACCCUGAACAGGCAGUGGAAACUGAAUAGCUAGAGUGCGGUAGGGGCAGAGGGAAUUCCCAGUGUAGCGGUGAAAUGCGUAGAGAUUGGGAAGAACACCGGUGGCGAAAGCACUCUGCUGGGCCGUCACUGACACUCAGAGACGAAAGCUAGGGGAGCGAAUGGG